GCUGAACAAGCCAGAACCUGUUCCCUUCCUGAAGCUUUCCAUCUCCGUGGGUCCCACCCUGUCUCCUGGCCAAGCAGACUCAAGAAAUCCUGGCAGAGAAUGAUAUUCCCUGCUGCUCUGCGGAGAUGACCACUUCGUGGAGAGCAGAGAGAGGAAGGAGGAGAAAAACGAAAAGAAA
RNAcentral lists this long non-coding RNA (178 nucleotides) under Callithrix jacchus (white-tufted-ear marmoset). Its description in RNAcentral is "lncRNA (ENSCJAG00000079679.1)". Lineage: Eukaryota; Metazoa; Chordata; Mammalia; Primates; Cebidae. The record is from RNAcentral.